CCUACGGGGGGCAGCAGUGAGGAAUAUUGGUCAAUGGGCGAGAGUCUGAACCAGCCAAGUAGCGUGAAGGAUGACUGCCCUAUGGGUUGUAAACUUCUUUUAUAUGGGAAUAAAAUGUUCCACGUGUGGGAUUUUGUAUGUACCAUAUGAAUAAGGAUCGGCUAACUCCGUGCCAGCAGCCGCGGUAAUACGGAGGAUCCGAGCGUUAUCCGGAUUUAUUGGGUUUAAAGGGAGCGUAGGUGGAUUGUUAAGUCAGUUGUGAAAGUUUGCGGCUCAACCGUAAAAUUGCAGUUGAAACUGGCAGUCUUGAGUACAGUAGAGGUGGGCGGAAUUCGUGGUGUAGCGGUGAAAUGCUUAGAGAUCACGAAGAACUCCGAUUGCGAAGGCAGUUCACUGGACUGCAACUGACACUGAGGCUCGAAAGUGUGGGUAUCAAACAGGAUUAGAUACCCGAGUAGUC
This 460-nucleotide ribosomal RNA is filed under the name uncultured bacterium. RNAcentral describes it as "partial 16S ribosomal RNA". It matches the Rfam family "Bacterial small subunit ribosomal RNA", at positions 338 to 795 of the family's 1533-position model. The record is from RNAcentral.